Molecule: ribosomal RNA, 415 nt
Filed under: uncultured bacterium
Lineage: Bacteria
Description: bacterial SSU rRNA
Rfam family: Bacterial small subunit ribosomal RNA
Source: RNAcentral
UGGGGAAUCUUGCGCAAUGGGCGAAAGCCUGACGCAGCGACGCCGCGUGGGUGAUGAAGGCCUUAGGGUCGUAAAGCCCUGUCGUAGGGGAAGAAACCGGGCAACCGCUGACGGUACCCUACAAGAAAGCACAGGCUAACUCCGUGCCAGCAGCCGCGGUAAUACGGAGUGUGCGAGCGUUGUUCGGAAUUACUGGGCGUAAAGCGCGUGUAGGCGGUUAUGUAAGUCGGAUGUGAAAUCCUGGGGCUCAACCCCAGAACUGCAUUCGAAACUGCAUGACUUGAGUUCGGGAGGGGGUGGCGGAAUUCCGAGUGUAGAGGUGGAAUUCGUAGAUAUUCGGAGGAACACCCGUGGCGAAGGCGGCCACCUGGACCGAUACUGACGCUGAGACGCGAAAGCGUGGGGAGCAAACAGG